This 471-nucleotide ribosomal RNA is filed under the name Ranatra brevicauda. RNAcentral describes it as "partial 16S ribosomal RNA". It matches the Rfam family "Bacterial large subunit ribosomal RNA", at positions 1796 to 2541 of the family's 2925-position model. The record is from RNAcentral. Lineage: Eukaryota; Metazoa; Arthropoda; Insecta; Hemiptera; Nepidae.
UCGCCUGUUUAACAAAAACAUGUCCUUUUGUUAAUUUAUUUAAGGUCUAACCUGCCCUAUGAUUUAUUAAAUGGCCGCGGUAUACUAACCGUGCAAAGGUAGCAUAAUCACUUGUCUUUUAAUUGAAGGCUAGAAUGAAUGGUUGGACGAGAUAUAUACUUUCUUUAUUGUACUUGCUUAAUUUUAUUUUUAAGUUAAAAAGCUUAAAUUUUUUUAUAGGACGAGAAGACCCUAUAGAAUUUUAUGUUUAUGAAUUUUUUUACUUUUGGCUAAUUUUUGUUUUAAAAUUUUAGGCAUUUUGUUGGGGCGACAGGAAAAUUUAUUUAACUUUUUUUUAUAAAUUUCAUUGAUUUAUGUUUUUGUGAUCCAUUUUUAGUGAUUAAAAGAUUAAAUUACCUUAGGGAUAACAGCGUUAUUCUUUUGGAGAGUUCUUAUCGAUAAAGGAGUUUGCGACCUCGAUGUGGAUUAAAA